UUGAAAGGCACUUACAGGAAG
This 21-nucleotide microRNA is filed under the name Bos taurus (domestic cattle). RNAcentral's name for it is "bta-miR-2367-3p". The record is from miRBase by way of RNAcentral. Lineage: Eukaryota; Metazoa; Chordata; Mammalia; Artiodactyla; Bovidae.